Pongo abelii (Sumatran orangutan) is the source of this 298-nucleotide non-coding RNA. Lineage: Eukaryota; Metazoa; Chordata; Mammalia; Primates; Hominidae. The record is from Rfam.
GGACAUGAGGGCGAUCCGGCUGAGCCGUCUGUUACCCUAUUGAUCGCCAGGGUUCAUUCGGCUGACCUGGCUGGCUAGGCUUGUGUGCUCUUCUUCCCUCACCGCUCUACGUGCAUCCCUCCUGUCCCUCCCUCUGUGGAAGAGGACGUCCCCCAGAGAAGAGGACCAGUCUUUGAUCAAAGGUAUAGGAGUAGCUGUGCCCCCAUGCUAGACUCUCCAAACAAGCUCUUUUGUUUUUUAAGACGGAGUCUCACUCUGUCGCUAGGCUGGAGUGCAAUGGUACGAUCUCAGCUCACUG